CUGCCGGUACCCGGCGCCGCCGCGGGGUUGCUCUUAGCACUGAGCCGCGAGCACAACUGGCUCGGUGACCCUUGUUUUUCAAACCUGGUGCGGCCUGUGUUCUUCAGCCAUGGCACCCCCUCAGCUGUGACACCCCGUCAGCCAUGGCACCCCCUCAGCAAUGAUCCCCUCAGCAAUGAUCCCCUCAGCCAUGGCACCCCCUCAGCUGCGACACCCCCUCAACCAUGACCUCCUUAGCCAUGUCAUCCCCUCAGCCAUGUCACCUCCUCAGCCAUGUCACCCCCUCAGCAAUGAUCCCCUCAUCAAUGUCAUCCCCUCAGCUGCGACACUCCCUCAGCCAUGACCUCCUUAGCCAUGUCAUCCCCUCAGCCAUGUCACCUCCUCAGCCAUGUCACCCCCUCAGCAAUGAUCCCCUCAUCAAUGUCAUCCCCUCAGCUGUGACACCCCCUGAGCCUUGACCUCCUUAGCCAUGUCAUCCCCUCAGCCAUGGGCCCCCCUCAGCCGUGACUCCCUCUUAGCCAUGUCACCCCCUCAGCCAUGACUCCCCCUUAGCCAUGACACUCCCUCAGCCAUGUCACCCCCUCAGCCAUGAUCCCCUCCACCAUGUGACCUCCUCAGCCAUGUCAUCCCCUCAGCCAUGGCCGCCCCUCAGCCAUGACUCCCCCUCGUUGCUCCGGGCUGUAGUUCAAGGGGUCAUAUCUAGUUGACCAAAAAAUGCCAUGCUUAAUGCUGGGAACUCUCCCUGGCAGCCUGCCCUGUGUGUGAGGCAACGCCAGCUCCAUCUCGCCUCUUCCAGCACCUUGGAACCCCCUGGGAACGGCAUUUUCCCAGCUGGAUGAGAAAUAUCCACACACUCUCUUCACGAUAAAUCCUAUCUUGCCAGGGAAAGUAAUUUGAAAACAUCCCUGCUGAUAAAUGAGGGGUAUUUGAAGCCCUGUCUGUUUGUUAUGUGUUUGUAUGUGAGAUAGUGCAGCGGGUUCCUGAUUCAUGGCUGGGCCUGAGAGCUGCUGCAAGAUCAUCAUAAAUAAUCCACGGACCGGGUGAAGGCUGAGGCUCCAUGUUUGCUUCCUGAUUUAAAGUGCCAAGGUCACCUGGAAGGCAGCGAUACACUUCCCUGUGCAAUUUCCUUGUGUACUUCCUCCGGAUUCGGAGGCCGCCUUGGUCAGGAAAUAGGAAACCUGUAGAUUAUGUUAGAUACAGCUUCAGUGUCUUGCCGGUCAAAUGUGCAUGAUGUAUUGUCAUAUAUUAUAAUAUUUACCCAUUUCUCUAUAAUUUUUCAAGAAUCUCGGUGCAGAAGUGUGUUUCAAAACACUGAAGUUGUGUGUUUCUGAGAUUUCAAGCAGAAAGUGCUUCAAAAUACUGCAAAUAAUGGUCUUGUCUCCUCGGAAGCAGGCAUUAAAGCUGUAGGUAUAUUCCUCACCCACACACCUCUCUGAGAUACACAGUGCCCACACUGCAGCUGAGCCCUCCCCAGCUUCUCACUUUGCCUGCAGCAAACAGGACAAUCCCGAUUUCCCUGAGACAUUCUCACUGCCUCCUUUCAGUUUUUAAAUCACCAGCCACACCUCAGUCCUGCCUUCCCACUCUCUGCUUGCUUUGUGAAUGAAGUUUCUUAUCAGGGCCAUUGUAAUCAGAGGCAAAGCUGGGAGGGAGCAGGAGGUGCAGACAAGAGACAGGAACCAUGAUCAAAUAGCUGGGAUGUUCCUUAAUUAAGUAAAUCUCGGGAUUACGCAAGCUGCUGUUCCAGUUUUCUCAGGAAAGGAGAUGUCUUUAUGAAUCACCGUCAGUUUUCAUUAUCAGCCACCGACUGAGACGUCAGAGAGCAAGAGUAGCAUCUUCCCCACAGCACAGUUAGCAGGUCUUUCGUGCUUCCAUAAGGACAAUAGUUUCUUUGGCUGAAACAUCCUGUCCAGAGGGUUACAAUAAAACACUUUGCACUUGAAUUGUUUGCCUUCCUGACCCCUCAGCUUUCUGCCAGCUUCUGACUGUGCCUGCAACCACAAUAAUGCUAUGACUAACUUAAUUAGGAAAAAAAAAAGAAGAAAAAUAUAGGAAAACCUUUAUGUCCUGUGAAAGGAAAUCUAUUGCUGCUGUGAGAAUUGCUAUUCCUGCUGGCAGGAAGGCAGGAGGUUAAUGAGAACCCCUCCUUGAGGGUUGCUUUUCUCAAUUUUCUCAUGUGCACAGGAACAAGCAAAGCUCCAAAGCUCUGCAGCCAUCCCUACCAGCAACAGCAAGUUCCUGCUCCUGUCAGUUAAAAGCCUGCUUACCUUUGAACUCAGUGGGAACAAGAACCCGGCCCUUGUGCAACUGUGGGAAAUAAUUGACUGCAGUAACAUUUCCAUCAGCCCUGUGAGUUGAUUUGAACCAGAUUACUCAGGAAACUCAAAAGCCCAAUGCGAGGUUUUUAUGAUGGAUUUUUCCAAGGCAAAAAUCCAUGGACUGGCUUCAUACCACCAGCACAGUUGAGGUUUCCCAUCGUGAGAUUGAUGCUACCCUUGAGCCUGAAAAUGGCUGGCAAGAGACUUGUGGGUGAGCGGAGGAGACUGUCACAGCAGUGCCUGUGGGGAGGUGCUGGAGUCCUUCUCUGAGCCAACUGAUCCUUGGCAGGUUGCAAACAGAACAAAACUAGAAGUGGCAAAUGCACUAUUUCUGUGGAUGGCAGACAGACCAGAGAGCAAUUACACUCCCCAGUGUGGAACAUCUCACAUCAACAAGGCUCACUUUGGUGCUGGGGAUUCAGUGGGAUUCAGCUCCAGUGGGCUCUGGCACAGACCCUAAAUAUAGAACUUUACAUGACCUUAAUGUUGCUUUUGAAAAUAGACUGCUGAUACUGAGACUUACAUAAAGAAAUACAUAAAUUUACUGUUCAACAUGGUGGAUAAAUGCCCUGUGGCAAACAUCUAUUAGAGAAGUAGAAUGUAAUUAAGGUUACUUAAUGCUGGGAAAAUAAACAUUACUUGGA
Pipra filicauda (Wire-tailed manakin) is the source of this 2962-nucleotide long non-coding RNA. RefSeq lists it as uncharacterized. The transcript is spliced from 7 exons. Lineage: Eukaryota; Metazoa; Chordata; Aves; Passeriformes; Pipridae. The record is from RefSeq and is a predicted model, not a curated record.